Molecule: ribosomal RNA, 447 nt
Filed under: uncultured Treponema clone CFS7p
Lineage: Bacteria; Pseudomonadati; Spirochaetota; Spirochaetia; Treponematales; Treponemataceae
Description: partial 16S small subunit ribosomal RNA
Rfam family: Bacterial small subunit ribosomal RNA
Source: RNAcentral
GGACGGCAGCGGGGGGCUUGCCCCCCGUGAGAGUGGCGGACUGGUGAGUAACGCGUGGGUGACCUGCCUUGAGGUUGGGGAUAGCCGCUAGAAAUAGCGGGUAAUACCGGAUAUGGUUACGGGGUUAUGACCCGGUAAAGAAAGGGGCUUUGGCCCCGCCAUGGGAUGGGCCCGCGUCCCAUUAGCUUGUUGGGGGUGUAACGGACCACCAAGGCGAUGAUGGGUAGCCGGCCUGAGAGGGUGAACGGCCACACUGGGACUGAGAUACGGCCCAGACUCCUACGGGAGGCAGCAGCUAAGAAUAUUCCGCAAUGGGGGGAACCCUGACGGAGCGACGCCGCGUGGAUGAGGAAGGCCGAAAGGUUGUAAAAUCCUUUUGCCGGAGAAGAAUAAGGGGGGUAGGGAGUGACCUUCCUGAUGACGUUAUCCGGUGAAUNAGCCCCGGCU